This 425-nucleotide ribosomal RNA is filed under the name Aname sp. MYG176. Its description in RNAcentral is "partial 16S ribosomal RNA". It matches the Rfam family "Archaeal large subunit ribosomal RNA", at positions 1926 to 2666 of the family's 2987-position model. The record is from RNAcentral. Lineage: Eukaryota; Metazoa; Arthropoda; Arachnida; Araneae; Anamidae.
UAAAAGUUUUCAUUUUUAGUAUCUCCUGCUCAAUGAAGUUUAAAUAGCCGCAGUCCUCUGUGCUAAGGUAGCAUAAUCAUUUGCCUAAUAAUUAUAGGAUAGAAUGAAAGGAGGAACAUGAUAUCUUCUUUAUUAAAUAAAAUACUUUAAAUUAAUUUUUAAGUAAAAACACUUAAAUAAUUAGGGGGACGACAAGACCCUGACGAACUUUACUAUUUGUUUUGCUGGGGUGGCAAUAAAAUCAAACCUUUUCCUCCAUUUAUUUAAUCUAACCUUUAGAUUGAUAAUCAAGUUACCGCAGGGAUAACAGCAUAAUCUUUUCCUGAAGACCUUAUACAAGAAAAUGUUUGUGACCUCGAUGUUGAAUUAAAAAUCUAUUAGAAGCAGAACUCUAACAAGAGAGUCUGUUCGACUCUUAAAAAUUU